AUGAACGCUGGCGGCGUGCCUAAUCCAUGCAAGUCGAGCGAACAGACGAGGAGCUUGCUCCUCUGACGUUAGCGGCGGACGGGUGAGUAACACGUGGAUAACCUACCUAUAAGACUGGGAUAACUUCGGGAAACCGGAGCUAAUACCGGAUAAUAUAUUGAACCGCAUGGUUCAAUAGUGAAAGACGGUUUUGCUGUCACUUAUAGAUGGAUCCGCGCCGCAUUAGCUAGUUGGUAAGGUAAUGGCUUACCAAGGCGACGAUGCGUAGCCGACCUGAGAGGGUGAUCGGCCACACUGGAACUGAGACACGGUCCAGACUCCUACGGGAGGCAGCAGUAGGGAAUCUUCCGCAAUGGGCGAAAGCCUGACGGAGCAACGCCGCGUGAGUGAUGAAGGUCUUCGGAUCGUAAAACUCUGUUAUUAGGGAAGAACAAAUGUGUAAGUAACUAUGCACGUCUUGACGGUACCUAAUCAGAAAGCCACGGCUAACUACGUG
This 496-nucleotide ribosomal RNA is filed under the name uncultured bacterium. RNAcentral describes it as "partial 16S ribosomal RNA". It matches the Rfam family "Bacterial small subunit ribosomal RNA", at positions 29 to 507 of the family's 1533-position model. The record is from RNAcentral.